This 253-nucleotide ribosomal RNA is filed under the name uncultured bacterium. RNAcentral's name for it is "partial 16S ribosomal RNA". It matches the Rfam family "Bacterial small subunit ribosomal RNA", at positions 524 to 776 of the family's 1533-position model. The record is from RNAcentral.
UACGGAGGGGACUAGCGUUGUUCGGAAUUACUGGGCGUAAAGCGCACGUAGGCGGAUUUGUAAGUCAGGGGUGAAAUCCCGGGGCUCAACCUCGGAACUGCCUUUGAUACUGCAAAUCUCGAGUCCGGAAGAGGUGAGUGGAAUUCCUAGUGUAGAGGUGAAAUUCGUAGAUAUUAGGAAGAACACCAGUGGCGAAGGCGGUGCUCUGGGCCGGAACUGACGCUGAGACGCGAAAGCGUGGGGAGCGAACAGG